CUUGAGGAGUCCGCCAUAACAAAGAAAGAAAAAAAGGGAGAAAGAAAGAAAGGAAGAAAGGAGGAAGAAGAAAAAAGAAAGGAAAGAUCGGUUUGGGGAACCCAAAGCAAGGAUCUACAAGGAUUCAAGGGACCCAAGGCAUGCAUGUAGGUAGAUCUUGGAAUGCAUGGUGAUUUUAGAGCUAAAUAAGUAAUGGCAAAGGUGACCAUAGAUAUGAGGGAGUUGUGAAUUAUAUUUGAAAAGUCAAGCUUAAACCGAGAGAUAAGUAAUUAGCUCAGGUGCCUUGCUCAGCACAUCGAGACUUACUGCAAUAUAGGUAAUGGCAUCACUUAGCCUUCCACUCCGAGUUGCUCUACUACCUAGAGGUCGUGUUGUGUCAAGUAGAUAAACUCAUAAUGACUAACAGAUUGUGGAAAUCUAAUUGCUUAAACUUGAGGUUGUGUUA
Theobroma umbraticum is the source of this 445-nucleotide long non-coding RNA. RefSeq lists it as uncharacterized. NCBI's taxonomy places the organism in Eukaryota, Viridiplantae, Streptophyta, Magnoliopsida, Malvales, Malvaceae. The record is from RefSeq and is a predicted model, not a curated record.